UUUCUGCAUCGAUGUAUUAAAUUGUCAUGUAAGCAAAUUUGUAAAAUUUAAUCAACUAACACGUUUUUUAGUUGGUGAACACGUACGGAUGCUGAUACAGUGAUUCACUUGGUUCUAUUGUAUGUCCAUUUUGCUGGUCAUACUCGGGAUACAAUGUAAGAAAUGUGAAGGUACACCAAAUUCACAGGCUCAAUAUACGCCACACUGUCUAUUUUGCAAAUAAGGAGAAAGCAAUACGAUUUCGGUAUGUCACAACCUCAUCGAUCCUGUUGCUGACAUACGCCAAGUACCUUGACUCAAAUCAUAGUCAUACUACUUGUGGAGGGUCAAUGACUCAAUGGUGCCAUUUAAGACGCUUAUUGUACAAGCAAAGAAACAGAUUGAUUACAUACUGCCCAAUGAAGAUGUCGUAUAUGGUUGAAUUUGGUAACAAAUACCCGACAUCCAUCCACCACAGGGGAUCAUUUGUACCCUCUGUUUGUGACCAUCCUGAUCACAAAAUCAUGUGAUGCUGUGUAUCAGCGCUUAAACUCAGGUUCACCAAACCCGAACUUAAGUACUUAUUGGAGCUAUUGUGGGAGGUCCAGAUCAUAACGAUAAAUAUGGCGAUGAUAGGAGCAAUUAUUGCGAAUCAGAGCCAACAACUUAUAUUAAUCCUCCAUUUGUUGGUUCUCUAGCAUUCUUUUCUGGACCAUGAAUUGAGGUUUGAUGUUUAGCUAAAUGGAUAUUGGAGGACUGGGAGAUGUAAUGGCAUGUAUGAUCCCAUAUCCUAGUUGAACUUUUUAAUAUGCAGAUGAAUUUAGUUGUUCUUUGGGAAAU
This is a long non-coding RNA of Erigeron canadensis, 819 nucleotides long. RefSeq lists it as uncharacterized. The transcript has 2 exons. The record is from RefSeq and is a predicted model, not a curated record. Lineage: Eukaryota; Viridiplantae; Streptophyta; Magnoliopsida; Asterales; Asteraceae.